Molecule: ribosomal RNA, 407 nt
Filed under: uncultured Planctomycetota bacterium
Lineage: Bacteria; Pseudomonadati; Planctomycetota
Description: bacterial SSU rRNA
Rfam family: Bacterial small subunit ribosomal RNA
Source: RNAcentral
GACUUGACAUGCAUGGAUUAACUCCUGGAAACAGGAGCCAGGCCUUCGGGUACAACGUGCACAGGUGCUGCAUGGCUGUCGUCAGCUCGUGUCGUGAGAUGUCGGGUUAAGUCCCUUAACGAGCGAAACCCUUGUCUCUAGUUGCCAGCGGGUCAUGCCGAGAACUCUAGAGAGACUGCCGGCGUUAAACCGGAGGAAGGUGGGGAUGACGUCAAGUCCUCAUGGCCUUUAUGAUUAGGGCUGCACACGUCCUACAAUGGCGCGAACAAAGGGAAGCAAACUCGCGAGAGCAAGCAAAUCCCAAAAAACGCGCCUCAGUUCGGAUUGCAGGCUGCAACUCGCCUGCAUGAAGCCGGAAUCGCUAGUAAUCGCGGGUCAGCAUACCGCGGUGAAUAUGUUCCUGAGCC